Molecule: non-coding RNA, 182 nt
Filed under: Zoogloeaceae bacterium
Lineage: Bacteria; Pseudomonadati; Pseudomonadota; Betaproteobacteria; Rhodocyclales; Zoogloeaceae
Description: 6S RNA
Rfam family: 6S / SsrS RNA
About the family: E. coli 6S RNA was the first non coding RNA to be sequenced, but its function was unknown until recently. It consists of 184 nucleotides that fold into an extended hairpin structure with a large single-stranded internal bulge. The 6S RNA specifically associates with RNA polymerase holoenzyme containing the sigma70 specificity factor.
Source: RNAcentral
UGUUCCCUGCGGUGUUGGUGAAGACCCUAUAUCUUUGAACCAAUGUCUUGUUGGCAUCGGCUGCGAACCGUCCUUGAUGUUGUGGGCGCUUUCCCUGGAAGGCGCGCCUGAUUCAAGGGGUGAGCAACCACUCUGAACCCUCGGUUCAGGAUGCCGGUCUUGACGGCACUCGCGGGGAGCCA